GAGCGCAACCCUUGUCAUUAGUUGCUACAUUCAGUUGGGCACUCUAAUGAGACUGCCGGUGACAAACCGGAGGAAAGUGGGGAUGACGUCAGGUCCUCAUGGCCCUUAUAGUGGGGCUACACACGUCAUGCAAUGGAUGGGUACAAAGGGUCGCCAACCCGCGAGGGGGAGCCAAUCCCAUAAAGCCAUUCGUAGUCCGGAUCGCAGUCUGCAACUCGACUGCGUGAAGUCGGAAUCGCUAGUAAUCGUGGAAUCAGAAUGUCACGGUGAAUACGUUCCCGGGUCUU
Molecule: ribosomal RNA, 287 nt
Filed under: uncultured Acidovorax sp.
Lineage: Bacteria; Pseudomonadati; Pseudomonadota; Betaproteobacteria; Burkholderiales; Comamonadaceae
Description: partial 16S ribosomal RNA
Rfam family: Bacterial small subunit ribosomal RNA
Source: RNAcentral